RNAcentral lists this long non-coding RNA (336 nucleotides) under Sorghum bicolor (sorghum). RNAcentral's name for it is "long non-coding RNA (SBIC_LNC009527)". The record is from RNAcentral. Lineage: Eukaryota; Viridiplantae; Streptophyta; Magnoliopsida; Poales; Poaceae.
CCACAAUAGUCACUACUGCUUCAAUCUCAGUCAAAAGAAAUUACAGCACAAUGAUGUUCCAACGAUCACCUGCUUCUGCUCCAUACCUACCCCAGGUGGCCAUCAGCUCCUUAGCACCCGAUCAUCUAGCCUCCCAAUGCAGCAGCGCCCUCCCUCAACUCAUUCUGGAGAUGCAUUGGCAGUGCAGGCAUGCCACAUGUGAAGGCUCAUGGCGAGGGUGACUCUGUUUCUCAUUGAAGACUUGCCAAUCAUCCUCUGAAUCAGUAAUUUCUUUUUGCUACCUAAAUCAGUAAAGUAAACAGCAUUAGGUCUUCACGAAACAUAUUCAAAAUUAAC